RNAcentral lists this ribosomal RNA (460 nucleotides) under uncultured bacterium. RNAcentral describes it as "bacterial SSU rRNA". It matches the Rfam family "Bacterial small subunit ribosomal RNA", at positions 339 to 796 of the family's 1533-position model. The record is from RNAcentral.
CUACGGGAGGCAGCAGUAAGGAAUAUUGGACAAUGGGCGAAAGCCUGAUCCAGCCAUGCCGCGUGAUAGAUGAAGGCCCUCUGGGUUGUAAAUAUCUUUUAUCUGGGAAGAAACUCCUCUAUUCUUAGAGGCCUGACGGUACCAGAGGAAUAAGCACCGGCUAACUCCGUGCCAGCAGCCGCGGUAAUACGGAGGGUGCAAGCGUUAUCCGGAUUCACUGGGUUUAAAGGGUGCGUAGGUGGUUUUGUAAGUCAGUGGUGAAAUGUCUCGGCUUAACCGGGAAACUGCCAUUGAUACUGCUUAACUUGAAUCAAGUAGAGGUGGAUGGAAUAUUACAUGUAGCGGUGAAAUGCUUAGAUAUGUAAUAGAACACCAAUUGCGAAGGCAGUUCACUAUGCUUGUAUUGACACUGAGGCACGAAAGCGUGGGGAUCAAACAGGAUUAGAUACCCUUGUAGUCC